CUGGGCGCGGCCGGCGCUGCGGACCCGCUGCUGCUGUCCGGGUCUGUGCGGUCCCGAGGGCCCUCCGUGCCGCCGGCGCCAUGGGCAAUUGCCACACGGUGGGGCCCAACGAGGCGCUGGUGGUUUCAGGGGGCUGUUGUGGUUCCGACUAUAAACAGUACGUGUUUGGAGGCUGGGCCUGGGCCUGGUGGUGUAUCUCCGACACUCAGAGGUGAAGAUCAUGACGGAGAAGGAACUCCUGGCCGUGGCUUGUGAGCAGUUUCUGGGUAAGAAUGUGCAGGACAUCAAAAACGUCGUCCUGCAGACCCUGGAGGGACAUCUGCGCUCCAUCCUCGGUGAGGCCCUGUUCAGCCUUUGAGGAGCCUCAUGGGGCCCCUAAGCCAAGGCAGGGAGGGGUGCAGGGCUGGGCAGGGGGCCUGUUUCACAGGAGUUUCAAGCUAAAACGUUUUUCCUCAAAUAUUUAAUUUCAAAACUUCAGGUGACUUGAGUGAAGGAGAGGGCAUGAGUGAAGGGGUGGGAUGGGGGCUGUCGGUCUGCUCAGGAACCUAGUGCUGCUUGGGACACUUCCUCGUUCAGCCUGGACUGUGCAGCAGGAAGCUCAGUGUUAAGUGCUGUUGAGAAGAUACCCCAGGAAGACCCAGCUCAGAGUGCAGCACCCCGCAUGCACCCCGACCUCUACAUGCAUGCCUCCUCCCUUCCCC
RNAcentral lists this small RNA (701 nucleotides) under Pongo abelii (Sumatran orangutan). RNAcentral's name for it is "retained intron". Lineage: Eukaryota; Metazoa; Chordata; Mammalia; Primates; Hominidae. The record is from RNAcentral.